This 73-nucleotide transfer RNA is filed under the name Leifsonia soli. Its description in RNAcentral is "tRNA-Lys". The record is from RNAcentral. Lineage: Bacteria; Bacillati; Actinomycetota; Actinomycetes; Micrococcales; Microbacteriaceae.
GUGUCAGUGGUGCCGUUGGCAGAGCAUCGGACCUUUGAUCCGCGGGUCGUGGGUUCGAGCCCCACCGGGCCCA